AAGUCGUAACAAGGUUUCCGUAGGUGAACCUGCGGAAGGAUCAUUAAAGAGAAAGGGGCUAAACACCCCGACCUCCAACCCUCUGUUGUUAAAACUACCUUUGUUGCUUUGGCGGGACCGUUUUCGGUUUCCAACCGGGCCGCCGGGCACCUUUCACGGGUGUCAAGGCGAGUUCCCGCCAGAGUUAAACCAAACUCUUGUUAUUUAAACCGGUCGUCUGAGUAAAUUUUUUUGGAAUUAAAUCAAAA
Molecule: unclassified non-coding RNA, 248 nt
Filed under: plant metagenome
Description: partial contains small subunit ribosomal RNA and internal transcribed spacer 1
Rfam family: Eukaryotic small subunit ribosomal RNA (bases 1-46)
Source: RNAcentral